This 19-nucleotide small nuclear RNA is filed under the name Arabidopsis thaliana (thale cress). RNAcentral's name for it is "snRNA_06813". Lineage: Eukaryota; Viridiplantae; Streptophyta; Magnoliopsida; Brassicales; Brassicaceae. The record is from RNAcentral.
CGGCAACGUUAGGGAGUCC